CCAAGAUAUGAAAAUGUCUGUUCACUUCCUUCAUUGGUGUUGGUUGGAGAAUCUGACUGGAUUGGCUUCUUGCAGAUCGGACUUUGUGGCAGAUUGGAUUUGAGAGAAGGCCAUGAGCCGGGCCUUUGUCUUUGACCUGGUAGCUGGAGAGAACUGACUUAGCAGCUUACAGGUGAAUCUCCUGGGGAAAAUUCGGAGUGGAGUUUGAUGGUACCUGCGGGCAAGGCUUUGAGACCGGCCCCUCUGCUUGGAGCUUGCAGCCAGAGAACUGAGUGAGCAACUUAGAAUAGUCUCCUGGAAAGUCUGAUGCAGCUGCACUAGCACUUCAGGGGCAGCGAAGAUCAGAGGCAGGGCUUGCAGCCAGAGACCUGAGUGAGCAGCCCACAGAGCACUUGGCUGAGGGAAAGUCCGACUGGAGCUCGACCAAGCGCUUCCCUUUACCCCGUCCUCCGAGAAGACUCAGACCUGUCCCACUUGGAGCUAUAAAGCCUGGACCCACACGGAGCUCCACUCAAUUGUAAAAGGUUUUCCAGAGCCCCAGGAAAACCCUACCAAAUUUGCAGAGGAAUUUUUGCUAGUGUGCAAUGCCUAUGAAUCCUCUGAAGCAGACCUCCUGCAACUGCGUAAGCUACUUAUAACCCCUAGCGAGCAAGAAAAAAAAAUGGCUCCUGAUAGCAAAUUGGCCCACCACUGAGCGUCCUUCUAAUUUGCCAGACACUGGUCCUGACGCUGCCUACUGGAACAAAUGUAAGAAUCAAGUUGCCUUUCACCAUUGUAUAACAAGGUCUGUAAUUAACUUGGAAACAAUGUAACAAGGGUUGUCUAAAUUCUCUAUCACUAGUAAAUCAAGAUUGGAAAUUUUUCUAAAAGAUGCUGUAAAUCAAGCUAAGCCCCUGCAUGAGGCCAUUCCCCAAGUAUGGACUCCAAAAAAAAUCAACGGGACGGCCAUACGUUGCUGUAAACGGCAACAGA
Pelodiscus sinensis (Chinese soft-shelled turtle) is the source of this 972-nucleotide non-coding RNA. NCBI's taxonomy places the organism in Eukaryota, Metazoa, Chordata, Testudines, Trionychidae. The record is from RefSeq and is a predicted model, not a curated record.